Molecule: long non-coding RNA, 637 nt
Filed under: Setaria viridis
Lineage: Eukaryota; Viridiplantae; Streptophyta; Magnoliopsida; Poales; Poaceae
Description: long non-coding RNA (SVIR_LNC003031)
Source: RNAcentral
AGAGGAAGAGGCAUGCUACCAGACUGGGGUUUUUUUGUGGUUGCAAGAAUGAAGAAGAAGCUUACUCGACAAGGGAAGAGAACGGCAUAAUAAUAUAAUUUGACGCUGCCCUUAUUGACAACUGGCCCCUGCAAAGUAAUGUAAAAUCAUAAAGCGGUCCUCCAAUCUCUCCAUGAGUGCCACAUCAUCGCACUAUUUCCAAUACUUCCCUUGUCAUAUCACGGUUUCUUUAGAGGUGUGGGUUCAUUAGUGAUACAAAUACAUAAUUUCAUUCCACGAAUUUAAACACAUAAUUUUAUUUCAAAUAUAUACAAGCCAUAGCAUUUAAACAAGUGAUACAAACAUAGGAAGGUCCGGUCUGUUAAAUAGUAGUCAUACAAGAUGAUCCGAUGAACACAAAUAGACAGAUGCAGUUGUUAGUAUUCAUACACAGGAAGGUCCCUUCUGCAAAACAUCAAUACACCAAAAAUUCGCCAACUAGUUCCACUCCCUCAUCAUUACUCUAUCUUGGAACUGCAAUCUCUGCCUCAUCCAUAACUUCCCCCUUCUCUAUCUAUUACGAGUCCUCCAUUGUUCUCCCUCUACCUUCCUCUUUGACUGUCUAGUCAAUCUCUCCUCAAACAUGGGUCAAUCCUGG